This 253-nucleotide ribosomal RNA is filed under the name uncultured bacterium. Its description in RNAcentral is "partial 16S ribosomal RNA". It matches the Rfam family "Bacterial small subunit ribosomal RNA", at positions 524 to 776 of the family's 1533-position model. The record is from RNAcentral.
UACGUAGGGUGCGAGCGUUAAUCGGAAUUACUGGGCGUAAAGCGUGCGCAGGCGGCUUCGCAAGUCAGGCGUGAAAUCCCCGGGCUUAACCUGGGAAUGGCGUCUGAAACUACGGAGCUGGAGUGUGGCAGAGGGAGGUAGAAUUCCACGUGUAGCGGUGAAAUGCGUAGAUAUGUGGAGGAACACCGGUGGCGAAGGCGGCAUCCUGGACCGGUAUUGACGCUGAGGCGCGAAAGCCAGGGGAGCAAACGGG